RNAcentral lists this long non-coding RNA (2988 nucleotides) under Cyanoderma ruficeps (rufous-capped babbler). Its description in RNAcentral is "lncRNA (ENSCRFG00000014110.1)". Lineage: Eukaryota; Metazoa; Chordata; Aves; Passeriformes; Timaliidae. The record is from RNAcentral.
ACAAAAGCACUUUCCUAAACCCAUCAGAGCUGUCUGCACUCCCUGGCCUCAGUGCGUGUGGGUGGUGUGGCAGGCUGGGUUGGGGCUGCAGGGGCUGGGGGCUGAAGGUGGGUUGGGGCUGCUGGUGCCUCCAGCUGGCAGAUGGUUGCAGGGGACUGCAGGCUCCAGCUGGGAGGCAUUACCAGCUCCUGCUGCAUCUCCAGUGGAAAGCAGGACGAGUGGUGGAGGGGAAAUGAAAUGGUCAGCAGGGAUGGAGGGAGCACAGGGAGGAGCAGCCGCUCUCAAAAAGGAGUUUGUAGUGAUGGCAAAGCAGUGUGACUCCUUGAUCCUCUGGCUUCUCUUAGGGUAGCAGGAAUCCCCAAGCCAUAAAAAAUGUGGGUCUGGCUCCUGUUUGAUGCGAGGGGACCUCACACGUGAGCUUGUGGAGUAGUGUGUGUCCUGCCCGAGCCCACAGCAUCCUGCCUCUGUUCAGGAGCACCGUGGGUUUGCACGAUUUAAAAUUAACAUCUAGCUUGGGACAGCAUUUCACUUUCUCCAGGCAUCCUGCUCUAGCAGAUGUCUCCAGGCUCUGCGGUCAGAGCCACUUAAGAACUAAGAAAAGCCACAGGACGAUUUCCAGCGGGAAGCGCGGGCGGGAUGCGGAGAGGCUGCCCCUGCGCCCGUGCCCAGCGCGGUUCGGGGCGGCCCCGAGCACUUCCCUUGCCCUCCAGCAGGCUCGGGGGCUUUGCUGCUCCCUGCGCUUUCCCAGCGCUCAAAACGGUUUUGUAAAACUCGGGAACGAACUGCAACAGGGCAGCGCGUUCCCGUCCCGGCUGAGCCACGGUAAGAGCCGCCGUCCCCGUCGGGCAGAACACCCCGGCCAGGCUCGGGGACGCGCACCGGCUCCCCCGGGCUGCGCGCUCCCGGCUCGGGCGGCUCCAUCCCGUCCCCCGCGGCCGCCGAGCAUCCCGGGGCGGGGCGGGCUGGGCUGGGCUGCGCGGCGGGCGGGGGUGGCUCCGGGGCCGCCCCCAUCGCCCGCUUCCUCCCCCGGGCCCCGGCCGGAGCCCGUUGCCCUCCCUGCGGGCGGUAGCGGGGCCGCAUCCCGGGCGUGCGGUCCGGCUGCGCCGCGGGACGGGCCCGAGGGACGGCGGAGCAAGAGGUACCUGGGGACAUCACUUCGAGGUGCUCUGUGCCCGUGUCUGCAGCAGCCUUGGCUGGCAGAGGGUGACUUUGCCCCUCAGAGCAUCGUGAGUGACACUGUGAGAGCUGCCCACACACGUGAGCCUGCAGGUGGGGAAAUCUCGGCUUGGCCUUGGAGUGGGAGCUGUGUAGUGCCACCGCCUGAGAUGCUGAAGCACAGCCCGGGGAGCAGGUGACUCUGUGACAUCACGUGGGUUAAAUCAGGCUCUGACUGCAGGUGACUCUGAGUGAGAAGUGUUUAAGCCCUCCCUGUGCCACAGCCGCCUUCCCAAUCUGCUUCCGGCUGCCCGCUGGGGUCCCAGCUGCUCUCCUGAGCAGCAGGAGCCUUGUCCCAGCCCUUAGGGUGUCAGUCAGGGAGUCUUCCCUCUGCUUUGUCCCUGAAACCUGGCAGAUCCGAGCUUCUCUUUGUCAGGUGCCCUUGCUGGGGCAGCUUGCUCUGAAGCUGCUACAUGCUGAAUGUCCCUGGGAUGUCUGUAAGUACGCAAAGGACAAAGGGGAAAACAUAAUUUGAAAAGGUGUCUCUUCAUGGAAGUACUUGGGAAGGAUCCUUGCUGGUGUGCCGGUACCUCGUGCAGGAGACCAGACUGACCUGAGGGCACCUGGUAGCUCUGUUCAGUGGCUAAUGCAUCGUAGGAGGGGAGGUGGGAGAGCUUUAGGGAGCUGCUGGUCAGCUCCACAUACAGGGUGUUUCCUGAGGUUAAUAACUGUGGUGUGAAAUGUGUCGAAUUUCUGUGGGCCCUUCCAGGGAGUCUGGAUGCCCAGAGUUGUUCUCUUCAUUCACAAAGAAGAGAUGAGAUGUAGGUUUCUGAUGGAGGAGGAGCAAACCUGCUGUGCAGGUCUGGCAGGGAUCUGCCAUGGCUGGGAUGUAGCAGCUUGUCCUGGUGCCUGCUUUGAAGAGGCAGGGAGGGGAGGGCUGUCCCACACACCGGUCCUGCACCCCGGGUUAUUGUUCCAGGCUGCAGGGUGAUGUUUCUCCAUGGUCUCAGUCCAGAUUACUUCCCAGGGAACAGCCUCUGGAUAUGCGGGUGUUGGCUUGGGUUUCCUCCUAUGCAAAUGAGUUUAUAGGAAUGUACUAAGCUCCUCUGCAAAACAGCUUGAGUGCUAAUGAAAGACAUCACUGUGUAAGAAAAAAAUAUUGUUAGCACAUUACUACCAUCGUUAAUGAGGUCAGAUCAUUGCCUUGGAACAAAAUUAGUUUGUUUUGCUCUAAUCAGUUUUAGUAGCUAGAGUGCCCAGUAAUUACUUGUGUCCUUGUGAAAGGGAUGGGACAGCAUGACUAGAGCUGCUGGCAGACUGCUCUGACUCUGAAAUGAAUUGUGCAGAUGAUUUUUGAGAGGGCAUCUUUCCAGCUGCACAGUGCCCCUGGAGUGAUGCUGGCAGAGCCCAGCUUCAGUCAGGAAUGGCCAUGGUCCACAGCACGGCUCCUCUGGAAAGAGUGUCCUGAGGGGAUUCAGAGAGGCAUUAGCAGCAGGAACACUGGACUGUGCUGUUGUCUUCAUGUUUAUGAUCCUAAUUUGACUUGCAGCAUGUAAAUCUCUCUCUGAACUCUUCCUUUCUGUAGUCUAUGCAAAUUUUCAAGACCCCAGGAGCUCUCAAAUACAGCUGCUCUCUAAACCAGAAGAUUCACUCCUGGGUAUUUGUACAUCUAGAAUCUUCUCUUUAUUUUUUGUUUUGUUUUUCCUGAUGUCAUUGGUGUGUUCCUGAAAAGAUGGCCUGUGGCCACCCGGAUGAAUGGGCAGGGUGCUGAGAGCUACUGCAGUGGUAGGGCCCUGGCUCAGGAAGAAUGAUUGUCAGCAGGUUGUGCUUUCC